GUCAGACAAAAUGGCGGCAUCACCGCCGCUACUGUGUAAAGUUACUUCCCAGUCAGGAAACGAACACUAUUUUUCGUAAAUAAAACAAAGUAACCUUACCAAUCGUAACUGAAUUUUGUUUUUACAAAAAGGAUUUCAUAAAUAUCCUACCUAACUAUUUUUUGUCUCUUUUAGGAUCGUUUAUUAAUCAAAUUACAAAUAUCAGACAAAUAUGGCACAAACAUCCAGCAGAUCCCACUGUAGUGUUCCUUUUUGCUCCAACAACAAACAAAAAGUGCCUUACAUGAGUUUCCACACCUUUCCAACUGACCCAGUACUACGGGGUCAAGGCAAUAAGGAGAGAGGAGGGUGAAACCUUUAAAAUAGUAUAUGGGAGCACCCAUGUGUGCAGUCAUCAUUUUCUCCCAGAAGAGGUGGACGAAAAAGAAUAAAAAAAGAUGCAGUCCCGUCCAGAUUCUAUUGGAACAACUGGGUUACAGAAUCGUACCCUCAUCCAGCCUGUCCAUCUGAGCAGCAGAUGAGGAUUCUUCAUCUCUCCGUUGUGCAGCCGUCCUCCUCGUCAGCCUCCCGAAGGGCUUCAGGGAGAAGAGCAGGCCGCUCUGCUGGAACAGC
This is a long non-coding RNA of Oryzias melastigma (Indian medaka), 612 nucleotides long. RefSeq lists it as uncharacterized. The transcript is spliced from 3 exons. NCBI's taxonomy places the organism in Eukaryota, Metazoa, Chordata, Actinopteri, Beloniformes, Adrianichthyidae. The record is from RefSeq and is a predicted model, not a curated record.